UAGAUUCUUAGAAAACAAGCAGAAGGAGCAGCCGUAGAUUCUCCCCCGUCCAUAAAUACAGCCUCGCGCCCACAGAGCUUCCACAGAAUUCUCGAUCAUUCUCCUCCUCAAAGCCUCAAAGCCUCAAACCCCAUUUUCUUCUUCACCUCCAUCCCUUCUGCAACUCCCAUUCAUCUUCUCCGUUCUUCCCCUCAUGUCUCGCAGAGCCCUAGAUUCCCGCGAAUCGAUUCACUCCUGUACUCUCAAGCUCCAUGGUUGGAGGCCCUUCCAGCUGCCCAAAGCCCUAGAUUCCGAUGCCCAUACUUCCGCUCCCACAAGCGCUAAACCCUACUACUCAUCCAGUGGCCUGCACACCAAGCGCCCUUGUCUCUCCGAUCGAACUACCUCUUUCAAUAUCGACGCUAUUGACAUGUCGGGCCUGAGUUUGAUUGACGACGACAAGCCUUCUAUUACGGCAGGAGGCAGUUACUCGCGUCCGAGCUUCCAAUUGAUCGCUAGGAAGCGGCGGCGGCGGCGUGGAUCGAGGUCGGUUUCCGGGCGGAGUACUGAUCGAAGCGGAACGAGACGAUGCUGCUCUGUUGGGGCUUCGGCUGCUCAUGGAACCUGCUCGGACUUCCCUAUGGCAGUUGGCACGGAUUCGAGCGGUGAGUUGUUUGUGAAUGGGGAUGCGAAUUGGUCGUCAGAUGUGAGCGAAGCGAAGAAUUCGAGGAGGAGGGAGAGAGAGGAGAAGGAUCAAUUGGGUUCUGGGUUUGGUUCUUCUAAUGGGGGUUUUGAUGCUCAGGGGAACGAGUCUGGCUAUGGUAGCGAGCCUGGUUAUCGUGGAGAUGGUGAAUUCGGGUAUGGUGAUGAGAUCGACGAGGAGGAUGAGGAUGCCAGAUUGCUGCUAUGGGGUGAACGACUAGGAGAUUCUAGAGUAGAAAUUGUAGGAGAGAACACAUUUACAGAUCAGAAAUCACACCAUAGAUGUCGUCGUAAGAAGCACGAAUGUGGAAUGGUCGAUUCCCUAAGGUGAAGCAAACAUCGAAAAGAGGCAAUGAUGAACACUGUGAAUACUCCUGAUGCUGUUGAUGGUUCCUACCUGCUGAUAGAUCUAUCGCUGCCAUGAACUCUAUAACACUACCUUUGAUACAUCUACAGGGAAGAAAACAGAAUCCCACUGUCAAAAUCUUGAAAUUUUCUCAAAUUAAGAAGUCAACUCUUUUGUAUGUCUUGACAGAGCUGUGAAACAAAAAAAAGGUUCGAAUUCUUCUUAAGUCAGCUUAGUAUACACAACUCUUUUGUAUGAUCCAAUUCGACCAUAAAUCUACUAGUUAUGGCAUGUGCCUCCGACCAAAGGUUGAUGAGAAUGUGACUUCUUUAGGUCUAAUGUUUUAGUUAGGCUCGAUUCAAAUAUUGAAAUGCUCAUCAUUUAACUAGGUGGCUUCUAGACCCGUGGUAGAGUUGCGACUCACUUAAGCUACAUGUUUCACUCAAUCAACCAUUUGGGUCGAGUGACUUCUAGUUUCAUCCCGUAUAAUUGCUCGAAUUGAUUUGGUUCGUGUUGUGUAUUUAAAUCCAUUUCGAUAUUGUGACUUCU
This is a non-coding RNA of Cucurbita pepo subsp. pepo (vegetable marrow), 1576 nucleotides long. Lineage: Eukaryota; Viridiplantae; Streptophyta; Magnoliopsida; Cucurbitales; Cucurbitaceae. The record is from RefSeq and is a predicted model, not a curated record.